RNAcentral lists this ribosomal RNA (812 nucleotides) under uncultured archaeon. Its description in RNAcentral is "bacterial SSU rRNA". It matches the Rfam family "Archaeal small subunit ribosomal RNA", at positions 109 to 922 of the family's 1478-position model. The record is from RNAcentral.
CUGCCCUUAGGACGGGGAUAAACCCGGGAAACUGGGUAUAAUACCCGAUAGGUCUCGAUUGCUGGAAUGCAUCGAGAUUUAAAGCUCCGGCGCCUAAGGAUGGGUCUGCGGCCUAUCAGGUAGUAGUGGGUGUAGCGUACCUACUAGCCUACGACGGGUACGGGUUGUGAGAGCAAGAGCCCGGAGAUGGAUUCUGAGACACGAAUCCAGGCCCUACGGGGUGCAGCAGGCGCGAAAACUUUACAAUGCUGGCAACAGCGAUAAGGGAACCUCGAGUGCCAGGUUACAAAUCUGGCUGUCGAGAUGCCUAAAAAGCAUUUCAUAGCAAGGGCCGGGCAAGACCGGUGCCAGCCGCCGCGGUAACACCGGCGGCUCGAGUGGUAACCGUUAUUAUUGGGUCUAAAGGGUCUGUAGCCGGCCGGAUAAGUCUCUUGAGAAAUCUGGCAGCUUAACUGUCAGGCUUUCAGGAGAUACUGUCUGGCUCGAGGCCGGGAGAGGUGAGAGGUACUUCAGGGGUAGGGGUGAAAUCUUGUAAUCCUUGAAGGACCACCAGUGGCGAAGGCGUCUCACCAGAACGGACCUGACGGCAAGGGACGAAAGCUAGGGGCACGAACCGGAUUAGAUACUCGGGUAGUCCUAGCCGUAAACGAUACUCGCUAGGUGUCGGCCACGGUGCGACCGUUGUCGGUGCCGUAGGGAAGCCGUGAAGCGAGCCACCUGGGAAGUACGGCCGCAAGGCUGAAACUUAAAGGAAUUGGCGGGGGAGCACCACAACGGGUGGAGCUUGCGGUUUAAUUGGAUUCAACGCCGGG